RNAcentral lists this ribosomal RNA (879 nucleotides) under uncultured organism. RNAcentral's name for it is "bacterial SSU rRNA". It matches the Rfam family "Bacterial small subunit ribosomal RNA", at positions 293 to 1187 of the family's 1533-position model. The record is from RNAcentral.
UGACAGGACCAUCAACCACACUGGGACUGAUACACGGCCCACACCCCUACGGGAGGCAGCAGUGGGCAAUUCUCCUCCAUGCGCGAAAGCCUGACAGAGCACGACCGCGUGUGGAAGGAAGGUCCUUCCGUCCUAAACCGCUUUUCUUAGGGAAGAAGCUCUGACGGUACCUAAGGAAUCAGCCUCGGCAAACUCCGUGCCGGCUACCGCCGUAAUACGAACGAGGCAAGCCUUCUCCAGAAUUAUCGGGCCUAACCCGACCGCAAGCUGCUUACCAAAUCUGCUGUCAAAUACCAGAGCUCAACUCUGGGUCGAAAGUCGAAACUGACAAGCUAGAUUUCAGUCGGGGUAGAGGGCAUUCCCAUUGUAGCGGAUGAAAUGCGUACAGAGUGGGAAGAACACCAGUGGAGAAAGCGCUCUACUGGGCUGUAACUGACGCUGAGUGAUGAAAGCUAGGGUAGCGAAAGUGAUUAGAUAGACCUGUAGUCUUAGCUGUAAACGAUGGAGACUAGGCGUGGCUCGUAUCGACCCGAGCCGUGCCGAAGUCAACGCGUUAAGUCUCCCGCCUGGGGAGUACGCAUGCAAGUGUGAAACUCAAAGGAAUUGACGGGGGUCCGCACAAGCGGUGGAGUAUGUGGUUUAAUUCGAUGAAACGCGAAGAACCUUACCAAGGCUUGACAUCCCGCGAAUCUUGGUGAAAACUGGGUGUGUCUUCGGGAGCGCGGAGACAGGUGGUGCAUAGCUGUCGUCAGCUCGUGUCGUGAGAUGUUGGGUUUAGUCCCGCAAAGAGCGCAACCCUUGUCCUUAGUUGACAGCAUUCAGUUGGGCACUCUAGGGAGACUGCCGGUGCCAAAUCGGUGGAAGGUGGGGAUGACGUCA